Molecule: transfer RNA, 66 nt
Filed under: Norvellina sp. EMHAU-15062816
Lineage: Eukaryota; Metazoa; Arthropoda; Insecta; Hemiptera; Cicadellidae
Description: tRNA-Asp
Source: RNAcentral
AAGAAGGUAGUUUAAUUAAAACAUAAAUUUGUCAAAUUUAUGAUAUACUGUAGAGUAUCCUCCUUU